UACGGAGGAUCCAAGCGUUAUCCGGAUUUAUUGGGUUUAAAGGGUGCGUAGGUGGGCAGGUAAGUCAGUGGUGAAAUCUCCGGGCUUAACUCGGAACGGUCAAGUGAUACUGUCGGACUAGAGUACAGAAGGGGCAACUGGAAUUCUCGGUGUAGCGGUGAAAUGCGUAGAUAUCGAGAGGAACACCUGCGGCGAAGGCGGGUUGCUGGGCUGAUACUGACGCUGAGGCGCGAAAGCCAGGGGAGCGAACGGG
RNAcentral lists this ribosomal RNA (253 nucleotides) under uncultured bacterium. Its description in RNAcentral is "partial 16S ribosomal RNA". It matches the Rfam family "Bacterial small subunit ribosomal RNA", at positions 524 to 776 of the family's 1533-position model. The record is from RNAcentral.